This 467-nucleotide ribosomal RNA is filed under the name uncultured bacterium. RNAcentral describes it as "partial 16S ribosomal RNA". It matches the Rfam family "Bacterial small subunit ribosomal RNA", at positions 29 to 507 of the family's 1533-position model. The record is from RNAcentral.
ACGAACGCUGGCGGCGUGCUUAACACAUGCAAGUCGCACGGAAAGGCCCUGCUUUUGUGGGGUGCUCGAGUGGCGAACGGGUGAGUAACACGUGAGUAACCUGCCCUUGACUUUGGGAUAACUUCAGGAAACUGGGGCUAAUACCGGAUAGGAGCUCCUGCUGCAUGGUGGGGGUUGGAAAGUUUCGGCGGUUGGGGAUGGACUCGCGGCUUAUCAGCUUGUUGGUGGGGUAGUGGCUUACCAAGGCUUUGACGGGUAGCCGGCCUCAGAGGGUGACCGGCCACAUUGGGACUGAGAUACGGCCCAGACUCCUACGGGAGGCAGCAGUGGGGAAUAUUGCACAAUGGGCGGAAGCCUGAUGCAGCAACGCCGCGUGCGGGAUGACGGCCUUCGGGUUGUAAACCGCUUUCGCCUGUGACGAAGCGUGAGUGACGGUAAUGGGUAAAGAAGCACCGGCUAACUACGUG